GGCUCAGGACGAACGCUGGCGGCGUGCUUAACACAUGCGAGUCGAGCGAGACCCACCUUUCGGGGUGGUGUUCUAGCGGCGAACGGGUGAGUAACACGUGGGCAACCUGCCCUCAGCUCUGGGAUAACUCCAAGAAAUUGGGGCUAAUACCGGAUAUGACCGCUGACCGCAUGGUCUGGUGGUGGAAAGAUUUAUCGGCUGGGGAUGGGCCCGCGGCCUAUCAGCUUGUUGGUGGGGUAGUGGCCUACCAAGGCGACGACGGGUAGCCGGCCUGAGAGGGUGACCGGCCACACUGGGACUGAGACACGGCCCAGACUCCUACGGGAGGCAGCAGUGGGGAAUAUUGCGCAAUGGGCGGAAGCCUGACGCAGCGACGCCGCGUGGGGGAUGACGGCCUUCGGGUUGUAAACCUCUUUCAGCAGGGACGAAGCGAAAGUGACGGUACCUGCAGAAGAAGCACCGGCCAACUACGUGCCAGCAGCCGCGGUAAUACGUAGGGUGCAAGCGUUGUCCGGAAUUAUUGGGCGUAAAGAGCUCGUAGGCGGUUUGUUGCGUCGGCUGUGAAAUCCCGAGGCUCAACCUCGGGUCUGCAGUCGAUACGAGCAAACUAGAGUGUUGCAGGGGAGACUGGAAUUCCUGGUGUAGCGGUGAAAUGCGCAGAUAUCAGGAGGAACACCGGUGGCGAAGGCGGGUCUCUGGGCAACAACUGACGCUGAGGAGCGAAAGCGUGGGGAGCGAACAGGAUUAGAUACCCUGGUAGUCCACGCCGUAAACGUUGGGCGCUAGGUGUGGGGCUCAUUCCACGAGUUCCGUGCCGCAGCUAACGCAUUAAGCGCCCCGCCUGGGGAGUACGGCCGCAAGGCUAAAACUCAAAG
This 875-nucleotide ribosomal RNA is filed under the name uncultured bacterium. RNAcentral's name for it is "bacterial SSU rRNA". It matches the Rfam family "Bacterial small subunit ribosomal RNA", at positions 21 to 906 of the family's 1533-position model. The record is from RNAcentral.